RNAcentral lists this ribosomal RNA (1339 nucleotides) under metagenome. RNAcentral's name for it is "bacterial SSU rRNA". It matches the Rfam family "Bacterial small subunit ribosomal RNA". The record is from RNAcentral.
AGAGUUUGAUCCUGGCUCAGAGUGAACGCUAGCGGUGCGCCUAACACAUGCAAGUCGCGGGAGGGUUCGACCCGACCGGCGAACGGCUGCAUAACACGUUGGAACCUGCCCCGAACUCAGGGAUAACCUACCGAAAGGUGGGCUAAUACCGGAUAGCCCCGCAAGGGUAAAGCUUUUGCGGUUCGGGAGGGGCCUGCGGCCUAUCAGCUUGUUGGUAAGGUAAUGGCUUACCAAGGCUAUGACGGGUAGCUGAUCUGAGAGGAUGAUCAGCCAGAAUGGGACUGAGACACGGCCCAUACUCCUACGGGAGGCAGCAGUGAGGAAUCUUUCGCAAUGGGCGCAAGCCUGACGGAGCGACACCGCGUGAAGGAUGAAACCAUUUUUUGGCGUAAACUUCUGUUCUGAGGGAACAAAUUUUUGAGGGUACCUCAGGAGAAAGCACCGGCUAAUUCCGUGCCAGCAGCCGCGGUAAGACGGAAGGUGCAAGCGUUACUCGGAAUCACUGGGCGUAAAGCGUCUGUAGGUGGAAAAAUAAGUCUGCGGUGAAAGGUAGGAGCUCAACUCCUAUUGCGUUGCGGAAACUGUUUUUCUUGAGCAACUCAGUGGCACCUGGAAUGCUGUGUGUAGGGGUAAUAUCCGUUGAUACACAGUGGAACGCUAAAAGCGAAAGCAGGGUGCUGGGGGUUUGCUGACACUGAGAGACGAAAGCGUGGGUAGCGAACGGGAUUAGAUACCCCGGUAGUCCACGCCCUAAACGAUGCGUGUUCGGUGUGGGGGAACGUUCGAUCGAUCCUCCGUGCCUCAGCUAACGCGGUAAACACGCCGCCUAGGGAGUACGGCCGCAAGGCUAAAACUUAAAGGAAUAGACGGGGACCCACACAAGCGGUGGAGCAUGGGGUUUAAUUCGAUAAUAAGCGGGGCACCUCACCCAGGUUUGACAUCUUAGAAAUCCCCUGGAAACAGGGGAGUGCCGCAAGGAAUCUAAAGACAGGUGCUGCACGGUCGUCGUCAGCUCGUGCCUUGAGGUGUGUUGUUAAGUCAAUGAACGAGCGCAACCCUCAUCCUGUGUUGCAUUUUCACAGGAGACUGCCGGCUCCAAGUCGGAGGAAGGCGAGGAUGACGUCAGAUCAGCGUGGCCCUUAUACCUGGGGCGACACCCGUGCUACAAUGGCCGAUACAAAGGGCAGCUAAGCCGCGAGGCGGAGCGAAUCCCCCAAAGUCGGUCUCAGUUCGGAUCGUAGGCUGCAAUUCGCCUACGUGAAGUUGGAAUCGCUAGUAACCGUGAAUCAGCCACGUCACGGUGAAUAUGUUCCUGGGUCUUGUACUCACCGCCGUCAAG